This 2721-nucleotide long non-coding RNA is filed under the name Anser brachyrhynchus (Pink-footed goose). RNAcentral describes it as "lncRNA (ENSABRG00000001366.1)". The record is from RNAcentral. Lineage: Eukaryota; Metazoa; Chordata; Aves; Anseriformes; Anatidae.
CCGCCCCGCGCUCUCUCCCGGGUGGAUUCUCCGAGGUCUCGUAUGAGGCUGAGCUGGGAGCUCUGUGACAUUGCUCCGCCGGUCCUCGGCCACGCAGAGCUCGAGAGGCCUCAUGGGGUUCAGAGCGAAAAGGGGCAGGGGUGCACGGGCAGAAGGGCUGCCGUGUGCUGCACACAUGCACACACAUGUGCACACACAUGCAUGCACACACAGACACAUGCACAUGCCCACGCAUGCCUGCAUACAUGCAUGCACACCUGCAUGCACACCUACAUACCGGGUCACACUCACACACCUACAUGUGUGCACGUCACAGACCUCCACGUAUGUACACACAAGCGUGUACACACACAAACGCAGGCACACAUCCAUUUGCACAAGCAUGCACAGAAACAUGCAUGAAACGUAGCUAUAUGUACACACGCACAAACACACACAUGUAUGCACAAACAUGCACGUGGCCCGUGUAUACCAAACACGCGUGUGGCUGCUGAGCACGUGUGCACACUGCCAGGCAGGCGUGAGUGUGCAGAGGAUGCGUGUGCACUGCUGAGCACGUGUGUGCGCACUGAGCUCAUGUCUGUACUGCCAGGCGUGUGUGUGCGUGUGUGCACACAGAGCACGUGUGUGCACCGCUGAGCACGUGUGCAUGCUGAGCACAUGUGCAUUUGCUGCAUUGCUGGGCACGUGUGUGGAUGCCUAGCACGUGUGUGCACAAACACGCACGCUGAGCGCGUGUGCACGUGUGUGCACACUGAGCACGUCUGUGCGUUGCCAGGCACACGUGUGUAUGCUGACCGUGUGUGCACAAACAUGCGUGCUGAGCACGUGUGCACCGCCAAGCAAAUGUAUGCACACCAAGCAGGUGUGUGCACGCCCAGCGCACGUCAGCACGCUUAGCACAUAUAUGCACACGUGUGUGAGGCUGAGCCCACCGCGGCCAACAUCCCAGCCUCGCUCGCAGCUCCCCCACCCUGGGGGUGUGCACACCCCCGCACAUGCAGCCCUCGAAGCACGGCGUGCCCGGCGCCAAGCACGGCGUGCGUGUGCACGCGCGUGUGCAUGCGCGUGUGCAGCGUGGGCCGGCCCCCAGCCUCCGGAGCCGCCGGCAGUGCCCGUCGUGGGACAGCCACCGAGCCGAGCGCUGCGGCCACCAUGGUCCCGCGGGGCCCCGCGUGGUGCCUGCUGCUGGGGCUCUGCGCCCUGCUCCCCCGCGCCAGCACCCAGGGGACCCCAGAAGAGGAUGCGGUGCCGGGGGUCCCCGAGCGCUGCGGCGUCACCUUCCACACCCCCAGCCCCUGCGGGCCCCCCCGGCCGCCCCCCUCGGCCUCCCGCGAGGAGCUGGAGCAUCUCCGGAGCCUCCUGCAGCAGACCAGGGCCAGCCUGCAGGACGUGGAGGCGGCGGCGGCGCUGGAGGAGCACCGGCCCCGCUACCAGGACGUGAUCGCCGAGGCGCUGCCCGCCAUCCGUGGGGCCAACCGGGAGUUCCAGGAGAGCCUGGACAACGUCCGCAGGGAGCUGGAGGCGCACGUGGCCGAGACCGAGCACCCGCAGGCGGUGGAGAAGAGGGAGAAGCUGCGGAAGGACGUCCGCGUGGUGGCCCACGUCCUGCGGCUCACCGCCCGCCUGGCCCGCGCCCUCGACGCCUCCUCGCGCCGCCUCCAGGACGAGCUCAACCAGCGCCUGCAGCGCUCGGCCGCCCGCGCUGCCGCCGGCGCCCAGCCCUAGGACGCGGGGCCGGGCUCUGCCCCUGCCCUCUGCAAGGCCUUGCUUGCUGGUAGGACCCUCUUUUGCCCCCCCAGCCAGCUCGCUCCCACCGCUUUCGGGGCGCACGGCUCCUCCGCGCGGCCCCAGGUUUGCGGAAUAAGCCGGGUGCCGGGCUGGCACCGGGAGGGACGGGAGGCUGCAGCCUGCUGUGCGCUGCCCGUAGCCCCAGCCCCAAGUCUUUAAUGCAUUUAUCCCACAGGAGCUGCGCCCUGCUGUAGCACAGCCCCGUGUGCACGGGGAGAUCCCCCCUCUGCUGCAGGCUCCUGCACCCUUGGGCCCUCCCCGAGCGUGCUUUGUCCGUGCAGCAUUUGCAGCUUGCCAGACUCGUGCGCCAGCAUCUGAGCACGUUCCCGGGGCUCCCCAGCACCCCUAAAGUGCCUUAAAAAUGAAUCCCAGCUCCUCUGGGGCUCAGCUGCAUCCCGCUGGUGACCUCCCCGCAUCGCAGCCCUCCUGGAUGCAUCCCCGCAUGGGCAGAGCCACCGCCAGCCCCCAUUAAUCCGUCGCACAGCCCCAGCCUGGUCCAGGCUCACAAGCUAAAAGACCCCGUCACAACCCGGCUGCUGGGAGCAGGAGGCUGGGGAGCAGCAGGGAUGGGGACAGGGCUGGGGACAGGGCUGGGGACAGGGUGGCUGCACAUGCGCACGCCGGGAAGCGCCGGGCAUAGCCACAAACCACCCAGCAGUAAAUCAAAGCUGGCAUCCGGAGUGCACCAAGCCCACGGGGGUUUGGGCACCAGGAAAAGUGCUGGAGGCAGAACACCCUGGCGAAUUCGGGAGCCGUGGGGGGUCUCCGGGCACGGUGUGUCCUGGCCACCCUGCCAUGCCGGCCGUGGGGUCCCUGCCGUCCCCGUACGGCCCCGGGGCUGGGCACGAGGCAGGGAUCCCCGGGGGCAGCGGCAGCGGCACGACUUCAGGCGCUGCAGGCAGUGGAAUAAAGAGGCAUUGCGCUCUGCCA